Gadus macrocephalus (Pacific cod) is the source of this 1503-nucleotide long non-coding RNA. RefSeq lists it as uncharacterized. NCBI's taxonomy places the organism in Eukaryota, Metazoa, Chordata, Actinopteri, Gadiformes, Gadidae. The transcript is spliced from 2 exons. The record is from RefSeq and is a predicted model, not a curated record.
AUCCCUCCCAAGAUUCAUUGCGCAUUCAAUCAAUGGAGAUGGCGGAGAAUGGCGAUUUAAGUUCUGCAUUUAAAUGGGGCCAGCAGCAUACUGCUCGAUUUAUUCUAUUGAGGGGGGAGAAUGAUGAGCUGUUCACCGGGGUGAAAUACUCCGCAAGUGUGGCUUGGGGGUAAAGAAACAAUCGUUUAUUUAUAUCGUAAGUUAGUUUAUAAAAAUUAUUAUAGGCCAUUUAUAUAUCUUCAUUUGACCAUCUUGUAAAGGUUAGUUAAAUUAGCCCUCAUUAAACAGCAGGACCGAUACAACAUCCCCAGAAAUCCUUUACUACGAUGUCCUAUUUUGGGUUAUUAAAGAAAGAAAGACAAAAAAAAGUCACAGCUCGCAUCACCCCUAGUGGGUGCUACACACUGGUGGUGGUGAGUGAGGUCCCCCCCUUCAAUGUAAAGCGUCUUUGAGUGUCUAGGAAAAAGCGCUAUAUAAAUUCAAUGCAUUAUUAUUAUUAGACAGCACUAGAAAAACACACAAAGAAAAAGGGUGUUUUGACUUCUACUGGUUGUCUUAUUAUUAUGGGCUUCAUAUAGGAUGAGGGCUAAUUUAAAUGUAACCUUUACAAGAUGGUCAAAUAUAUAUAUUAUAAAUGGCCUAUUGUUAACAUGGGCUAUUAACAUGAUUGAUAAAUGUGUCUCUUGUUUUCUCUGAUUAAUAAUGUCUCUGUGUUUACUGUUUAGGACAAUUCUGGAGAAAAUAGGCCUGCAGGGUAAGGUGACUCCCCCGCUGGCAAAGAAAAACUUUUGCUGAAAUUAGUUUUGAUACUGCUCUUGUUGUUAACUGCCAUGAUGGAUUUCCUCUGCCUUAGGAUUGCAAGUAUCCAGGGUCAGGAGAGGGGGUAGGUGGGAAACCCACUGCUGUCACUUGGACCUGGUUUGUCCCCAUGGAUGAGGUAUUGUGACAGAUGCAUUCCACCAACCCCCCUGUCCUAAUUGCCUCCAUCCCUGAGAACACACCAGGGCCAAGUACAGCAAGUACAGCAGUGGUGGAUCAGGAGGUUGAGGACAAGGAUCAGGAGGAGGAAAGACAGCGAGGGCCAAGGUCCAGAAAGAGGGACAGAGAGGAAGACAUGUUCCAGAGUCGCUCACUAUCUUCCGAAAAGGACUCAAGAUUCACCUGUUCAGAGUCCACCUCGACUGCAUAGCCACCCUCCCCCUUCUGGCAACCAUUGUACACUGUGUUGUAUUGUAUUGUAUUAUAGUACUUAACUGUGUAGCAACUGCAGUAGCUGCUAUCAUGGCUGUAACACGGGGAAUGGGUUAGCCUAGCGAUUGUGGUACUUGCACUUGGUUCUAUGAACAUCCUUUCUGUACCGACAGCGAUAUAUUGAUGCACUUCUUAUGACAAAUGUACUUAUUGUAAGUCGCUUUGGAUAAAAGCGUCUGCUAAAUGCCCUAAAUGUAAAUGUAAAAUGUCAAUGUUCCAGUUAAUAAAAGAGGACAUGAGGCUACAAAGGGA